UACGGGGGGGGCAAGCGUUGUUCGGAAUUACUGGGCGUAAAGGGCUCGUAGGCGGCCAACUAAGUCAGACGUGAAAUCCCUCGGCUUAACCGGGGAACUGCGUCUGAUACUGGAUGGCUUGAAUCCGGGAGAGGGAUGCAGAAUUCCAGGUGUAGCGGUGAAAUGCGUAGAUAUCUGGAGGAAUACCGGUGGCGAAGGCGGCAUCCUGGACCGAGAUUGACACUGAUGAGCGAAAGCUAGGGGAGCAAACGGG
This 253-nucleotide ribosomal RNA is filed under the name uncultured bacterium. RNAcentral's name for it is "partial 16S ribosomal RNA". It matches the Rfam family "Bacterial small subunit ribosomal RNA", at positions 524 to 776 of the family's 1533-position model. The record is from RNAcentral.